CGCUUGAGAGAACUCGGGUGAAGGAACUAGGCAAAAUAGCACCGUAACUUCGGGAGAAGGUGCGCCGGCGUAGAUUGUAGUGACUUGCUCACGAAGGUUGAACCGGUCGAAGAUACCAGCUGGCUGCAACUGUUUAUUAAAAACACAGCACUCUGCAAACACGAAAGUGGACGUAUAGGGUGUGAUGCCUGCCCGGUGCUGGAAGGUUAAUUGAUGGUGUAAUCGAAAGAGAAGCUCCUGAUCGAAGCCCCAGUAAACGGCGGCCGUAACUAUAACGGUCCUAAGGUAGCGAAAUUCCUUGUCGGGUAAGUUCCGACCUGCACGAAUGGCAUAAUGAUGGCCAGGCUGUCUCCACCCGAGACUCAGUGAAAUUGAAAUCGCCGUGAAGAUGCGGUGUACCCGCGGCUAGACGGAAAGACCCCGUGAACCUUUACUAUAGCUUGACACUGAACCUUGAAUUUUAAUGUGUAGGAUAGGUGGGAGACAAAGAAGCGGUAACGCCAGUUAUCGUGGAGUCGUUGUUGAAAUACCACCCUUUAACGUUUGAUGUUCUAACGAAGCGCUCGGGACGAGUGUUCGGACAGUGUCUGGUGGGUAGUUUGACUGGGGCGGUCUCCUCCCAAAGCGUAACGGAGGAGCACGAAGGUUGGCUAAUGACGGUCGGACAUCGUCAGGUUAGUGCAAUGGUAGAAGCCAGCUUAACUGCGAGACGGACAAGUCGAGCAGGUACGAAAGUAGGUCAUAGUGAUCCGGUGGUUCUGAAUGGAAGGGCCAUCGCUCAACGGAUAAAAGGUACUCCGGGGAUAACAGGCUGAUACCGCCCAAGAGUUCAUAUCGACGGCGGUGUUUGGCACCUCGAUGUCGGCUCAUCACAUCCUGGGGCUGAAGUAGGUCCCAAGGGUAUGGCUGUUCGCCAUUUAAAGUGGUACGCGAGCUGGGUUUAGAACGUCGUGAGACAGUUCGGUCCCUAUCUGCCGUGGGCGUUGGAGGAUUGAGGGGGGUUGCUCCUAGUACGAGAGGACCGGAGUGAACGCACCGCUGGUGUUCCAGUUGUUUCGCCAGAAGCAUUGCUGGGUAGCUAAGUGCGGAAGAGAUAAGUGCUGAAAGCAUCUAAGCACGAAACUUGCCCCGAGAUGAGUUCUCCCAGUCUAAGAGACUGUAAGGGUUGUUGAAGACGACGACGUAGAUAGGUGGGGUGUGUAAGCGGUGUGAGCCGUUGAGCUAACCCAUACUAAUUGCCCGAGAGGCUUAACUAUACAACGCUGAAGGGUUUU
This 1274-nucleotide ribosomal RNA is filed under the name Gallibacterium anatis. RNAcentral's name for it is "bacterial LSU rRNA". It matches the Rfam family "Bacterial large subunit ribosomal RNA", at positions 1687 to 2925 of the family's 2925-position model. The record is from RNAcentral. Lineage: Bacteria; Pseudomonadati; Pseudomonadota; Gammaproteobacteria; Pasteurellales; Pasteurellaceae.